AGAGUUUGAUCCUGGCUCAGAUUGAACGCUGGCGGCGUGCCUUACACAUGCAAGUCGAACGGCAGCACGAGAGCUUGCUCUUGGUGGCGAGUGGCGAACGGGUGAGUAAUAUAUCGGAACGUACCCUAGAGUGGGGGAUAACGUAGCGAAAGUUACGCUAAUACCGCAUACGAUCUACGGAUGAAAGUGGGGGAUCGCAAGACCUCAUGCUCAUGGAGCGGCCGAUAUCUGAUUAGCUAGUUGGUGGGGUAAAAGCUCACCAAGGCGACGAUCAGUAGCUGGUCUGAGAGGACGACCAGCCACUCUGGAACUGAGACACGGUCCAGACUCCUACGGGAGGCAGCAGUGGGGAAUUUUGGACAAUGGGCGCAAGCCUGAUCCAGCAAUGCCGCGUGAGUGAAGAAGGCCUUCGGGUUGUAAAGCUCUUUUGUCAGGGAAGAAACGGUGGACUCUAAUACAGAUCACUAAUGACGGUACCUGAAGAAUAAGCACCGGCUAACUACGUGCCAGCAGCCGCGGUAAUACGUAGGGUGCAAGCGUUAAUCGGAAUUACUGGGCGUAAAGCGUGCGCAGGCGGUUGUGCAAGACAGAUGUGAAAUCCCCGGGCUCAACCUGGGAAUUGCAUUUGUGACUGCACGGCUAGAGUGUGUCAGAGGGGGGUAGAAUUCCACGUGUAGCAGUGAAAUGCGUAGAGAUGUGGAGGAAUACCGAUGGCGAAGGCAGCCCCCUGGGAUAACACUGACGCUCAUGCACGAAAGCGUGGGGAGCAAACAGGAUUAGAUACCCUGGUAGUCCACGCCCUAAACGAUGUCUACUAGUUGUCGGGUCUUAAUUGACUUGGUAACGCAGCUAACGCGUGAAGUAGACCGCCUGGGGAGUACGGUCGUAAGAUUAAAACUCAAAGGAAUUGACGGGGACCCGCACAAGCGGUGGAUGAUGUGGAUUAAUUCGAUGCAACGCGAAAAACCUUACCUACCCUUGACAUGUCUGGAAUCCUUGAGAGAUCAGGGAGUGCUCGAAAGAGAAUCAGAACACAGGUGCUGCACGGCUGUCGUCAGCUCGUGUCGUGAGAUGUUGGGUUAAGUCCCGCAACGAGCGCAACCCUUGUCAUUAGUUGCUACGAAAGGGCACUCUAAUGAGACUGCCGGUGACAAACCGGAGGAAGGUGGGGAUGACGUCAAGUCCUCAUGGCCCUUAUGGGUAGGGCUUCACACGUCAUACAAUGGUACAUACAGAGGGCCGCCAACCCGCGAGGGGGAGCUAAUCCCAGAAAGUGUAUCGUAGUCCGGAUUGUAGUCUGCAACUCGACUACAUGAAGUUGGAAUCGCUAGUAAUCGCGGAUCAGCAUGUCGCGGUGAAUACGUUCCCGGGUCUUGUACACACCGCCCGUCACACCAUGGGAGCGGGUUUCACCAGAAGUGGGUAGCCUAACCGCAAGGAGGGCGCUCACCACGGUGGGAUUCGUGACUGGGGUGAAGUCGUAACAAGGUA
Molecule: ribosomal RNA, 1491 nt
Filed under: metagenome
Description: bacterial SSU rRNA
Rfam family: Bacterial small subunit ribosomal RNA
Source: RNAcentral